This 301-nucleotide ribosomal RNA is filed under the name uncultured bacterium. RNAcentral's name for it is "partial 16S ribosomal RNA". It matches the Rfam family "Bacterial small subunit ribosomal RNA", at positions 509 to 807 of the family's 1533-position model. The record is from RNAcentral.
CAGUAGCCGCGGGAAUACGUAGGGUGCAAGCGUUAAUCGGAAUUACUGGGCGUAAAGCGUGCGCAGGCGGUUUGUUAAGACAGAUGUGUAAUCCCCGGGCUCAACCUGGGAACUGCAUUUGUGACUGGCAGGCUAGAGUAUGGCAGAGGGGGGUGGAAUUCCGCGUGUAGCAGUGAAAUGCGUAGAUAUGCGGAGGAACACCGAUGGCGAAGGCAGCCCCCUGGGCCAAUACUGACGCUCAUGCACGAAAGCGUGGGGAGCAAACAGGAUUAGAUACCCCCGUAGUCCCUGUCUCUUAUAC